AUUAACGCUAGCGGCAGGCAUAAUACAUGCAAGUUGAACGGCAGCACAGGUAGCAAUACCGGGUGGCGAGUGGCGCACGGGUGCGUAACACGUAUGCAACCUACCCUAUACAGGCGAAUAACCUUUAGAAAUGAGGGCUAAUACGCCGUGGUAUUAUCUUGGGGCAUCUUGAGAUAAUUAAAGAUUAUCGGUAUAGGAUGGGCAUGCGUCCCAUUAGUUAGUUGGUAGGGUAACGGCCUACCAAGGCUAUGAUGGGUAGGGG
RNAcentral lists this ribosomal RNA (262 nucleotides) under uncultured bacterium. RNAcentral's name for it is "partial 16S ribosomal RNA". It matches the Rfam family "Bacterial small subunit ribosomal RNA", at positions 29 to 289 of the family's 1533-position model. The record is from RNAcentral.